Molecule: transfer RNA, 72 nt
Filed under: Pustulibacterium marinum
Lineage: Bacteria; Pseudomonadati; Bacteroidota; Flavobacteriia; Flavobacteriales; Flavobacteriaceae
Also listed under: 3 other names
Rfam family: tRNA
About the family: Transfer RNA (tRNA) molecules are approximately 80 nucleotides in length. Their secondary structure includes four short double-helical elements and three loops (D, anti-codon, and T loops).
Source: RNAcentral
GGGAUGUAGCUCAGCUGGCUAGAGCGCUUGACUGGCAGUCAAGAGGUCGUGGGUUCGACUCCCAUCUUCUCC